RNAcentral lists this ribosomal RNA (406 nucleotides) under uncultured bacterium. Its description in RNAcentral is "bacterial SSU rRNA". It matches the Rfam family "Bacterial small subunit ribosomal RNA", at positions 355 to 776 of the family's 1533-position model. The record is from RNAcentral.
UGAGGAAUUUUCCGCAAUGGACGAAAGUCUGACGGAGCAAUGCCGCGUGAAGGAUGAAGGCCUAUGGGUCGUAAACUUCUUUUCUCAGAGAAGAAUUCUUGACGGUAUCUGAGGAAUAAGCAUCGGCUAACUCUGUGCCAGCAGCCGCGGUAAGACAGAGGAUGCAAGCGUUAUCCGGAAUGAUUGGGCGUAAAGCGUCUGUAGGUGGCUUAAAAAGUCUCCUGUCAAAGAUCAGGGCUUAACCCUGGGCCGGCAGGAGAAACUCUUAGGCUAGAGUUUGGUAGGGGCAGAGGGAAUUCCCGGUGGAGCGGUGAAAUGCGUAGAGAUCGGGAGGAACACCAAAGGCGAAAGCACUCUGCUGGGCCACAACUGACACUGAGAGACGAAAGCGAGGGGAGCAAAAGGG